GACAUAGGGGGCAAGCGUUAUCCGGAAUAACUGGGCGUAAAGAGAGCGUAGGCGGUUUUGUAAGUUGAAGGUGAAAGCCCGGGGCUCAACCCCGGAAUUGCCUUCAAAACUGCAGAACUAGAGUGUGGGAGAGGAAGAUGGAAUUCCUAGUGUAGCAGUGAAAUGCGUAGAUAUUAGGAGGAACAUCAGCGGCGAAGGCGAUCUUCUGGAACAUAACUGACGCUGAGGCUCGAAAGCGUGGGGAGCAAAC
Molecule: ribosomal RNA, 250 nt
Filed under: uncultured prokaryote
Description: partial 16S ribosomal RNA
Rfam family: Bacterial small subunit ribosomal RNA
Source: RNAcentral